UACGUAGGCAGCGAGCGUUGUUCGGAGUUACUGGGCGUAAAGGGUGUGUAGGCGGUUGUUUAAGUUUGGUGUGAAAUCUCCCGGCUCAACUGGGAGGGUGCGCCGAAUACUGAAUGACUAGAGUACGGGAGAGGAAAGUGGAAUUCCUGGUGUAGCGGUGAAAUGCGUAGAGAUCAGGAAGAACAUCGGUGGCGAAGGCGCUCUGCUGGACCAUAACUGACACUCAGGGACGAAAGCUAGGGGAGCGAAUGGG
RNAcentral lists this ribosomal RNA (253 nucleotides) under uncultured bacterium. Its description in RNAcentral is "partial 16S ribosomal RNA". It matches the Rfam family "Bacterial small subunit ribosomal RNA", at positions 524 to 776 of the family's 1533-position model. The record is from RNAcentral.